UUUAAGGUAGGGGAGGUCCAGCCUGCCCAGUGACUACAAGUUCAACGGCCGCGGUAUUUUAACCGUGCAAAGGUAGCGCAAUCACUCGUCCUUUAAAUAGGGACCUGUAUGAAUGGUUAGACGAGGGCUUAACUGUCUCCCUUUUCCAGUCAGUGAAAUUGAUCUAUCCGUGCAGAAGCGGGUAUAACCAUACAAGACGAGAAGACCCUUUGGAGCUUUAGGUACAAGUCUCACCCAUGUUAAGUAAGUUAUAACAAACCCAAAACCCAAUGAAAAAUGAGACACUACCUUCGGUUGGGGCGACCACGGAGGAAAAAAUAGCCUCCGAGUAGACUGGAAAAUUUCCAAAACCAAGAACAACAAUUCUAAGCAACAGAACAUCUGACUAAAUAUGACCCGGCCACUUAAGCCGAUCAACGAACCAAGUUACCCAAGGGAUAACAGCGCAAUCCUCUUCCAGAGUUCAUAUCGACGAGGGGGUUUACGACCUCGAUGUUGGAUCAGGACAUCCUAAUGGUGCAGCCGCUAUUAAGGGUUCGUUUGUUCAACGAUUAAAGUCCUACGUGAUCUGAGUUCCAGACCGGACGUCGCCUGUUUAUCAAA
Molecule: ribosomal RNA, 603 nt
Filed under: Rasbora rasbora (Gangetic scissortail rasbora)
Lineage: Eukaryota; Metazoa; Chordata; Actinopteri; Cypriniformes; Danionidae
Description: partial small subunit ribosomal RNA
Rfam family: Bacterial large subunit ribosomal RNA
Source: RNAcentral